Xenopus laevis (African clawed frog) is the source of this 1599-nucleotide long non-coding RNA. RefSeq lists it as uncharacterized. The record is from RefSeq and is a predicted model, not a curated record. The transcript is spliced from 3 exons. NCBI's taxonomy places the organism in Eukaryota, Metazoa, Chordata, Amphibia, Anura, Pipidae.
GGGAUUCGCCGCGUUGACUUCUAGUGAGCUGGCCCUAAAUGACUGGAGCAUGCGCACUAGCAGCUGGACGGAUGGUUUUGCAGUUGUUUGGUUCCAAGAUUUUCCUCCUACAAUGACUUUGCCUUGGCGAAUCACACACGUGUAGCGUCCCUGGGCUUCUUCCUCUGCUUUUAGAACCAGGCUGCUUAGGGACAAUCUAACUAACCCAGGUGUAGAGGAAGAGAGACGAGCUCCAUCUUUAUACCAACUGAUCGAACCAAACAAUGGACCACAGCAACAUAAGGAUCAGGGUGACGUAAGGAUAAAAUGACACUGAUGUCCACAGGAUCCUGAAAUCUCAAGGGAAUCACAUCUAGAGCUUGAAGAAGGACAGCCUUAAAGGACAUGGAAAGGCAAAAAAAUAAAAUCCCAUUUUUACUUUCUUUAAUGAAAAAGAAACCUAUCUCCAAUAUACUUUUAUUAAAAAAUGUGUACCGUUUUUAUAAGAAACCUGACUGGAUGCAGUGAAAUUCUCCCUUCAUUUACUGCUGUGGAUAGGAAUUGUCAUAUGGUCCCUAACUGCAGAGCAGGGAAACAAUCAUACUUAUGAACAGCAGGGGGAGCGCCCGCCUUAUUUACCAGCCGUGCAGAACUCAAGCAGCUUUGUUUAAGACGAUCCCAAAGCAGUCCAGACCUCACUGAGCAUGUGCAGUGUCAGGGUCAGGCAAAGCUGUUUAACAAAGUUACAAGAUGACAGCCCCCUGUGGCCAACUUUGAAAGCAUAAAUCAUUUGUUUAAUUAGGCUUUGUGGUGCAGUAAGUUCAUGUUUAUGUUUAGUAUACAAAAUACAGCAUUUCUAGCCUUAUUCUAUUUAAGACUUUCCUUGUCCUUUAACAAAGGAUCAAAGAUCAGUGGUUAAAAGAACACUGUGCCUAAAACAAGGUUCUUCUUUACUCUGUAGUAAAUUUGCUUGUACUGUGUUAGCAUUUUAUCACAGGGGUCAUUCAUCUUAUUUGGCACCGACAUUAUUAUGUGUGCAGGGUUCAGAGCCCACCAUUUUUAUUAAUUUGAUGACUGAUUGCAUGAAGAAAGCUUAGAAAUGCAGAAAAUAGCUCUGUACUAUUUUUUUUAAAAAAAUUUUAAUUUUUAUGAACAAAAAAAAUAACCCAGAAGAAGACAAAUUAAAAAAUGAAACAAAUAUUUUUAUAUAAGACAAAAUUACAAUAUGACAACAAGCUUAUAAAUGGAACAUACCGUAUAUGGCUCAUUCAUUUAUUUCAAAGGGGCAAUUUGCAAAUGACAAAAAAUGUAAAAAACACUUUUUUCCCCUACCAAACCCCUAGCUUGUGUGUUUCCCAGAAUGGGCAAGUUGAUUGUGUUGGGGGAUGCAGAAAUGUUAGAAACCCUAUGCUUAUCUCAUGCUAUUGGCAGUGCAGUAGUGAAGACUUUAAAGGAGCCACACACACCAUAUAUUAUGCAGGCGGGAAGCUUACCCCUUCAUUGUGCCAAUAAUUUUCACAAUAAUUAUAUUGUUAAAUCUAAUGUUUUCCUGAAUAGCUAUUACUGUUCUGUAAAAUUUACUGAAGAAUAAUUAAUCAGUCCUUCUACAUCACCCUUAUA